Triticum aestivum (bread wheat) is the source of this 718-nucleotide long non-coding RNA. RefSeq lists it as uncharacterized. The record is from RefSeq and is a predicted model, not a curated record. The transcript is spliced from 3 exons. Lineage: Eukaryota; Viridiplantae; Streptophyta; Magnoliopsida; Poales; Poaceae.
GUAGUCUCUCCCAAGUAGCGGCGAAUCCCCAUUCUCCAGGGAGCGGCGGCGAGACCCUUCUCGGGCACUACCGCUGCUUCCGGCAACGUCCAUCUGUAUCACCAGCUUGCCGCCUGGCCGAUCACGCUCGCCCACGACCGCCGAUUACGCGAUGGAACCUGACUCUCAACACGGCUGACGGCCCGUUCCCCACCCUGGAUUCCCCUCACCCAAGUUGAUAUACAUUCAUCAGCUAAAUAACCUCAAAGGAGUGUUGUCAACAACAACAAAAACUCAAAGGAGAUAACCUUGUUAGGGGAUGACCACAACCGUACUACCUGAUGACCUGGUGAUGGAGAUCCUGUCUCGGCUGCCGCUGAAGUCCUUUUGCCAUUUCAGAUGUGUCUCCAAAUCUUGGCUUGCCUUCUCAUCUGAUCCACACUACCGCUGGAAGCUCCCAAGAACUCCUAUCGGUCUCCUCUACCAAAAAGGUGAGCAUGGCACUCCCAUCCUUCUGGCGGGACUUCCCUCAAAUGAUAGGGAUAUUAAUAUAACACUUAGCUUUGUGUCGUGUUGUGGGCAUCCCUUAGAGCUUAAGGACUGCAGCAAUGGCCUACUUCUUUGUUAUCAUUGUGAUACGCACUAUAAAUAAAUAUCCGACGCUAUCAUGUGCAAUCCAGCAACUAAAGAGUGGAUUGCACUUCCAUAUAUUUGCUGUUCUCAGGUUUUGUUUUGAUCA